This is a long non-coding RNA of Anolis carolinensis (green anole), 871 nucleotides long. RefSeq lists it as uncharacterized. NCBI's taxonomy places the organism in Eukaryota, Metazoa, Chordata, Lepidosauria, Squamata, Anolidae. The record is from RefSeq and is a predicted model, not a curated record. The transcript has 2 exons.
CCCAAGGUCUUCAGCAAAGCAAAACAUCUUUCUAAUAUGCCGGGCUAGACUUGAACUGCAUAGGAUACUUACACUGCAGAUCUUUCGAAGAAAUCACUAACCAACUUUCUCCCUUUCCCUCAUUCUUCCUGCUCUUGUAAAAUGCUCCCCUACUCUCACUGGGAGUUUGGCAGGAGUUUUCAAACUCUCUGCCCUGGCUUUCAAAAUAUCCCUACAAUAGCAGAGUUGGAUUGAGACCAGCUGUUGGUGCAUUACCAUUUGUAAAUGCUUUAAAAGCAACUACUUGCUUGGCAGCAUCUCUUGUUGAAGAAAGGCGGUGGUGGUGAGGGGGCAGCAGCUCUUAUUCAGACACUAAGAACCACUGGGUGCCAGCUUUGGCACAUUUGGGCCAUUGUUUGCACAUCUCUCUCCAAGUUUCCAUAAAGAAUUGUGAGAAUCAGGGCUUGGUGCACUGGAAGAACCGAAGCAUGAAUGCUAACAUCUCACUCGGUGCAGCUGCUAGUACAAAAGGAUUAAUUUGCCAUCGACCAACUCUAAUGCCCUUCUGUUUCAUCGCCGUUCCCCCACCAGGGGCAGUGGUGGCAGCAUCUGUUCCCCUGCUUUUUUACUGGUGCCACUCGUGCCGUAACAGAGAAGGUCUGUCAGCAUUUCCAUGACAUCCAAGGCACCCGUUUACAUUGCCAAAGAUGAGACAUUGCUUUCGCAACUUGCUUAAGAAAGAAAAAUAAGAAUAUAUGUUGAAACGUAAGCCAUAAACUCAUUGUCUUGGCAGGCCAAUACCAGAAGUCUUAUAGUUGUUCUUACUCUGUUUGUGCCAUGUAUUUCUUUAUUAUUCCUGUUCAGUUUUUGUUAAAGUAAAAUGAGGCUAAAA